GUGCCAGCCGCCGCGGUAAUACGAAGGGUCCAAGCGUUAUCCGGAUUUAUUGGGUUUAAAGGGUGCGUAGGCGGGUUGUUAAGUCAGUGGUGAAAUCUUGCAGCUUAACUGUAAAAUUGCCAUUGAUACUGACGAUCUUGAGUACACUUGAAGUGGGCGGAAUAUGUCAUGUAGAGGUGAAAUUCUUAGAGAUGACAUAGAACACCGAUUGCGAAGGCAGCUCACUAAAUUGUAACUGACGCUGAGGCACGAAAGCGUGGGGAUCAAACAGGAUUAGAAACCCCCGUAGUCC
RNAcentral lists this ribosomal RNA (292 nucleotides) under uncultured bacterium. Its description in RNAcentral is "partial 16S ribosomal RNA". It matches the Rfam family "Bacterial small subunit ribosomal RNA", at positions 505 to 796 of the family's 1533-position model. The record is from RNAcentral.